RNAcentral lists this non-coding RNA (864 nucleotides) under Cordylus vittifer. Its description in RNAcentral is "partial 12S ribosomal RNA". It matches the Rfam family "Bacterial small subunit ribosomal RNA". The record is from RNAcentral. Lineage: Eukaryota; Metazoa; Chordata; Lepidosauria; Squamata; Cordylidae.
CCAAGAGCACAAUGUUUUGGUCCUGAACCUGCUGCUAUUUUUUACUAGAUUUACACAUGCAAGCAUCCACAUACCAGUGAAAAUGCCCGCUAAUCAGAUAAGACAAACGGAGCCGGUAUCAGGCACACCCGCCUUUAGCCAAUGACACCUUGCUCUGCCACGCCCCCACGGGUUUACAGCAGUGAUUAAUAUUAAACAUAAGCGAAAGCUUGAUUUAGUUAUAGUAAAAUAGAGUCGGUAAAUUUCGUGCCAGCCACCGCGGUUAUACGAAAGACCCAAAAUAACGGCCCCCGGCGUAAAGCGUAGCCAGAUAAAUUAAUUAAGGAUGAACACCUUCUCCGCUGUAAAACGCCCAAGAAGACAAGAACAUCAACCACCUUAAAUACAUUUGACCCUACGAAAGCUAGGGCACAAACUGGGAUUAGAUACCCCACUAUGCCUAGCCCUAAACUUAGAUAGCAAAAUACUACCUAUCCGCCAGAGAACUACAAGCAAAAUACUUAAAACUCAAAGGACUUGGCGGCACUCCAUAUCAACCUAGAGGAGCCCGUCCAAUAAUCGAUACUACGCGCUCAACCCAACCAUUUUUGGCCACUCCAGCCUAUAUACCGCCGUCGUCAGCUAACCUUGUGAAAGAAAAGUAGUAAGCACAAAAGCCCCCACUAAAACGUCAGGUCAAGGUGUAGCUAAUAAAAUGGGUGUGAUAGGCUACAUUUUCUACUAUAGAAAAUACGGAUAAUACAAUGAAACUUGUAAUAGAAGGUGAAUUUAGAAGUAAACUAAGAAAGAAUCCUUACUUUAACAUCGCCCUGGAGUGCGCACACACCGCCCGUCACCCUCCUCAAACAACUCAGAUGAGGCAAG